CUACGGAGGGUCCAAGCGUUAUUCGGAAUCACUGGGCGUAAAGGACGCGUAGGCGGGUUGGCAAUUCAGAUGUGAAAUCCUACAGCUUAACUGUAGAACUGCAUUUGAAACUGCUAACCUAGAGUAUGGGAGGGGGAGAUGGAAUUAGUGGUGUAGGGGUAAAAUCCGUAGAUAUCACUAGGAAUACCGAAAGCGAAGGCGAUCUCCUGGAACAUAACUGACGCUAAGGCGUGAAAGCGUGGGGAGCAAACAGGAUUAGAAACCCUAGUAGUCC
Molecule: ribosomal RNA, 274 nt
Filed under: uncultured bacterium
Lineage: Bacteria
Description: partial 16S ribosomal RNA
Rfam family: Bacterial small subunit ribosomal RNA
Source: RNAcentral